AUUGAACGCUGGCGGCAGGCCUAACACAUGCAAGUCGAGCGGAUGAAGGGAGCUUGCUCCUGGAUUCAGCGGCGGACGGGUGAGUAAUGCCUAGGAAUCUGCCUUGUCGUGGGGGAUAACGUCCGGAAACGGGCGCUAAUACCGCAUCCGUCCUGAGGGAGAAAGUGGGGGAUCUUCGGACCUCACGCUAUCAGAUGACCCUAGGUCGGAUUAGCUAGUUGGUGGGGUAAAGGCCUACCAAGGCGACGAUCCGUAACUGGUCUGAGAGGAUGAUCAGCCACACUGGAACUGAGACACGGUCCAGACUCCUACGGGAGGCAGCAGUGGGGAAUAUUGGACAAUGGGCGAAAGCCUGAUCCAGCCAUGCCGCGUGUGUGAAGAAGGUCUUCGGAUUGUAAAGCACUUUAAGUUGGGAGGAAGGGCAGUAAGUUAAUACCUUGCUGUUUUGACGUUACCAACAGAAUAAGCACCGGCUAACUUCGUG
Molecule: ribosomal RNA, 484 nt
Filed under: uncultured bacterium
Lineage: Bacteria
Description: partial 16S ribosomal RNA
Rfam family: Bacterial small subunit ribosomal RNA
Source: RNAcentral